GAUGAAGAACGCAGCGAAAUGCGAUAAGUAAUGUGAAUUGCAGAAUUCAGUGAAUCAUCGAAUCUUUGAACGCACAUUUCGCCCGCCAGUAUUCUGGCGGGCAUGCCUGUUCGAGCGUCAUUUCAACCAUCAAGCCCCAGGCUUGUGUUGGGGACCUGCGGCUGCCGCAGGCCCUGAAAACCAGUGGCGGGCUCGCUGUCACACCGGGCGUAGUAGAUUUUAUCUCGCUCAGGGCGUGCUGCGGGUUCCGGCCGUUAAAAAGCCUUUUUUACCCAAGGUUGACCUCGGAUCAGGUAGGAAGACCCGCUGAACUUAAGCAUAUCAAUAAGCGGAGGA
This 336-nucleotide unclassified non-coding RNA is filed under the name soil metagenome. RNAcentral describes it as "partial contains 5.8S ribosomal RNA, internal transcribed spacer 2, and large subunit ribosomal RNA". The stretch from base 1 to 120 matches the Rfam family "5.8S ribosomal RNA", at positions 35 to 154 of the family's 154-position model. The record is from RNAcentral.